RNAcentral lists this transfer RNA (72 nucleotides) under Ovis aries (sheep). It matches the Rfam family "tRNA". From Rfam's summary of the family: Transfer RNA (tRNA) molecules are approximately 80 nucleotides in length. Their secondary structure includes four short double-helical elements and three loops (D, anti-codon, and T loops). Lineage: Eukaryota; Metazoa; Chordata; Mammalia; Artiodactyla; Bovidae. The record is from Rfam by way of RNAcentral.
UCCCUGGUGGCUCAGAUGGUAAAGCGUCUGCCUACAAUGUUGGAGACCCGGGUUCAAUCCCUGGUCGGGAAG